ACAGUCAAAUUUCAUAGAAUGUCAGACAGAGCAUAAUAAACAUAAGAACAGUCCAAGAAAUCUAAAGGAAACAAAGCAAGUUUAUUAAUGACCAACCCGGCUAUUCUAAGGUAACAUGACAAUUAAAUUAUCACAAUCGAACAAAACAAACAACAUAAUAAACGGAAACAAUAAACCGAAUGGUCCUAAAGCAAGAUGUGUGAACUACGUAAAAUGUAACAAAUAAUAAAGAAACAUGUGGUGUGGUAAUUAAAUGCAAUGCUUAAGCUAAAAAGUGAAUUGCUAUAUAAAAAGUGUGAAUGAUUUGAUGAAGAAAUGGAAAGCCAAGUUUUGUCAUGUUUGAUUGAGGACAAGCAAAGUUCUAAGUUUGGGGUUGUGAUAACGGUCUAAAAACCGUUAUUUUCAUGCUUAAAUUUGAUAGUAAAACACACCCUUUAUGGCUUAGAAUGAGCUUUAAAUCAAGUAAAACACUUAGUUGAGUCU
RNAcentral lists this long non-coding RNA (483 nucleotides) under Vigna radiata. RNAcentral describes it as "long non-coding RNA (VRAD_LNC008498)". Lineage: Eukaryota; Viridiplantae; Streptophyta; Magnoliopsida; Fabales; Fabaceae. The record is from RNAcentral.